UUCUUACAAAUCUUGAUUUUUUCUAUAGUUUAGUCUAACUUUAUCCUAGACAAGUAAAAAUAUAUAAGAUUGAUAUAUCCAAACCAUUAUUGGUAGGUACAAGAACUUUCAUCCACGUUGCAAAAAAAUACUUAGCUUUUGUUAUAUAUGCCUCACAUAUUGUUGAUAGAAAAAAGAUUUCAAGUGGCAUUCCAAGCCGAUACCAAGAUUAUCAAGACAUCUUUGAAAAAAAAAAUUAUAUCUAUAUAUAUCUAUAUAUAUAUGUUCUCAUGAUUGUUCCAUUGAUUUUCAAGAAGAAGCUUAACCACCAUUUCGACCAAUCUAUAGCCUAUUACAUGAUAAGUUGGUUGAAUCCAAGAAAUUUAUUAAUAAAAAUUUAACUAAGAACUUUAUAUGCCAUUCUAAAUCUCUAGCCAAAGCUCCUAUCUUAUUUGUGAUGAAAAAAAAUGGAUCUCUAUAGAUGUGUGUGGACUAACAAAGAUUCAAUAAGAUCACUAUUAAGAAUAGAUAUCUUCUAUCUUUGAUUUCAAGACUUUUUGAUCAAUUAAAUCAAGCAAAGAUCUAUAUAAAAAUAGAUCUUUGAAGAGCAUAUAAUUUAAUAUGUAUUAAAAAAAGAGACAAAUAAAAAAUUAUAUUUUAAAUUAGAUAUUGAUAUGUUAAAUAUAAUGACAUGCCUUUUGGACUCAUAAAUGAAUCAACUUCUUUUCAACAUCUAAUAAAUGAUGUAUUUUGUAAGUUUUUUGAUGAUUUUUUUGUUUAUUAUUUAAACAUCUUGAUUUAUUUUAAGAACAUAAAAAAGAAUAAACUUUAUAUUUUUCAUGUGUUACAAAAAUUAAAUGAUACAAGAUUACAUCCCAAGAUAAAAAAGUGUAUAUUUCACAUUACUCAAGUUGACUUUUUAAGAUACAUUAUUUCAAAAAAUGGUCUUAUAAUGGAUCUUAAAAAGGUCCAAACUAUCAUAAAUUAGAAAAUCUAAAAAAUAAUAAGAAAUUUGUAAUUUUUUUUGAAUUUUUAAAAUUAUUAUCAAAUCUUCAUUAUGAUUUUUUUUUUUUUUUUUUUUUUUUUUUUUUUCAAAUUGUGGCCUCUCUUACAUUCUUGACAUGUAAAGAAAAACUUGAGUAGAGCAAAGAAGCUAAAGCAUCUUUUGAAGCCUUAAAGAUAAGACUUAUUUCUAUACCAAUCUUAUAUUGCACCAAUUUUUUGAAGGCAUUUUUUAUGCAAACAAAUGCAUCAAACUUUGCUAUAGAUGAUGUUUUGUCUGAAAUAGGAGCAGAUAAUAAGCUCCAUCCAAUAGCUUUUUAUUUUAAAAAAUUUUCAGCAUCCAAGAUUAAUUAUGACAUCUCUAAUAAAGAACUUCUUGCAAUUGUGGAUUCAUUUUAAAAAUGGCGUCAUUAUCUAGAAAGUGCUUCUAGUCUAGUCAUCAUAUAUAUAAAUUAUAGCCUCAAAUAUUUCAUGUCAAUACAUAUUUUAAAUCAUCGCCAAGUCCAUUGGAGCAUGACUUAAUCAAGAUUUGAUUUAAAAUUACUUAUCAACCUAAAAAACAACAAAGUUUGUUAGAUUCUAUAUUUGUGAUAGUAGAUCAUUUUAUUAAGAUGGUACAUUUUAUACUAUGUAAAAAAUGUGUUAGAAGAGAAAAAAUGGCUAAGCUUUUUUUUGACAAUAUUUAUUGCUAUUAUGGAUUGUCCAAAGAUAUUAUAUUAGAUACGAAGACUCAAUUUGUAUCAAGAUUGUAACAAAUUAUUUUUAAGAUUCUAAAGAUGGAUAUAAAGCUCUCUUAGGCUUUACAUCUUUAAAUUGAUGGACAUACAAAAUGGAUUAAUCAAGUUUUGGAGCAAUAUUUGAGGUAUACUAUCAACUAUCAUUAAGAUAAGUGAACAAUUCUUUUGCCAUUGAUAGAGUUUGGAUACAAAAAUUUCAUACAUUCUUUUAUUCAAAAAAUACAUAUCUUUGCAAAUUAUAGUUAUCAUCCAUAAUUUGAUAUUUUUGACUUUUAAAAAGUUAAUAAUCUUACAAUAGAAGAUUUGAUGAGUUAUUUUUUAGAGCUACAAGGAACAAUAAAAGAGUAAUUAAUCGAAGCUAAAAAAUGUCAAAAGAUCAAUGCAGAUGCCUAUCACAAAGAACAACCACAAUUCACCCUUAGUGAUAAGAUAUGGCUUUUUUGUUGUAAUAUUAACACUAUUUGUCCUUGCGAUAAAUUAGACUAUUGUAAGCUUGGACUUUUUCUUAUUUGUGAACAAGUCAAUCAUGUUGCUUAUCAAUUAUAUCUAUCAGAGUCUAUGAAGAUCCAUCUAGUAUUCCACAUGUCUCUUCUUGAGCCAUAUAAGAUAGUAAAUAUCUUACAAAGAAGAUAAAUGCCACUUCUUCCUAUAAAAGUAGAUAAUAAUCAAGAAUUUGAAAUAGAAGAAGACUUAGAUUUAAGACGAUGCCAAAAUAGAUUAGAAUAUUUUUUUUAUUGGUACGGAUACGAUAUUAGUGAAUGUACAUGGUAGCUAACAAAGAAUCUUACAAAUGCAACAAAGAAGGUUGAGGCUUUUUAUUGAUAACAUUCAUCAAAAUUAAGGAAAAAAUUAUAAGAUCUAUAAAAGUUGAUGUGUAAUAAGGUAUAGAUAAGAUAUUUGUAUAGGGAUAAAUAAUUAGAAUAAUAGAAGUUUUUAGAAUUAGAAUUAGAUUAAUGGAUUAGGUAGGACCUACCAUAAAACAUUUUAGAAAGACUUUAGGAUAAUUAUUUAGGUAGGACUACUAUAGAAUCUUCUAAAAAGAAUUUAGGAUGAUUAUCUAAAAAAAGUCCAUCAUAGAACCUUCUAGAAGGAGCUUAAGGUGGUUAUCUAAGUAUGGUCCACUACCUAGGAACAUUCUAGAAAGUCCAAGGUUAUAAAAUAAAGUAUAAAUAAGAUUGACUAGGACCUUUUAGAAUAUUUGGUCAAGUAUGACUUUGAACUUUUUUUCUUAAUACAAUUGGAUUUUGUAUCUUCCUAUUUUAUUUUGUUCUGUCUUAAUUCUAGCUAUUUAGUUUUGUCUUCCAUGUCUCAUUCUAUUUAAUUCUAUUCAAUUUUGUUCUGAUUUAGUUUGUUCUAGAUUGUGAUGAGAUUUUAUGUUGUUGUAGAUUAGAAGGAUCUUGGACACUUGAAAUAGACUAGUCAUGUUUUAUUAGUAUCAAAGCAAGUAUUAGACUAUUUAUUUUUGGUACUAUGUCAAUUCUCAUCAUGUAGUCCAAGGUCGAUUGUUGUGAUCACACUGAAUACUGUGUUGAGUCUACCACAAGAUAUUCUUAAAAAGUUAACCAAGAGAUCAAAAGGCAUUACAAUAGUCAAAUCCAAUGGAGAAAUUAUAGCAUGAGAGAUGUGAAUAUAAUUAAAAGCUCCAAUGGUUAGUUAUAAUUUUUUUUGUAAUUUUUAACAUAUUUUUACUAAUUUUAAUGCUAAUAUAACUAAUAAAUAGAUCCAAAUUAGUUUUUUAGUUAAUUAUGACUUUAAUCAUAUUUUUAGGUUAUUAAUUAGAUGGAUACUUCUAAUUAGUGGAUUGAUUGACUAUUUUAAAAUUCAAAAGAAAAAAAUAAUAAAUUUAGAAGGUCUAUGAUUUUUUUUGAAUUACUUUAUAUCUUUUUUUAGUAAUAAAACUACAAUUUUAAUAGAAUUUUUCUUCUAAUUCUUAGGAAUUAUAUCUUAAAUUAAUCCACAAUAUUAAUUUUUAAUCUAAAAGAAAAUUUCUAAUUUGACUAUAGUUAAAAAGUUCCUUAAAUCUAAUUGCUCUAUCUUCUUAAUUAAUUUUGAGAUUUUUAAGCUUAAAUUUUAUUUUAUAAUUUAAUUGGAUUAAAAAUAUAAAGUCUAAUUGUUAAAUUAAUGAUGAUCUUAAAAAGAUGGAGACAAGCUAAAUUUUUGGUGGAGUUUCCUCUCAUAAUAAUUUUAAUCACUACUUGAAGUUGAAAAAAAGGAAAAAUUAGAAAAAAUCACAAAUUCAAGGCCAAUUUGCAAUUAGGUUUUGGAUUUGCUAAGAGUUCAUGCUUAAGGGAGUUUAAAUUGAAGAAUGGUGAUUAUAAAGGCUUUGAUGGCAAGAACCCUUGCUGAUUUCCAAGUAGGUUAAUUAGAAUUAGAAUUGUAGUUGAAAUUUAUAACUAAAUUAGUAAAUUAAUUCAUUCUUAUGAUUUAGAACUCAGAUUUGGGCUUGUGAAUAGUUGAUUGUAGGGUAAAAAUAUGUUUUAAAGACAUUGGUGGUAUUAGUUUCACCAAAAAUGUGUUAGUUUUUGAGUUCUAGGCAUUUCAAGCCUUGCAAUCGGAUUUGAGCUGAGAGUUAUUUAGGACCCUUGAUCUUGAUUAGGGAGUUUCCGAUUUUGAUGGUGGAGAUGUGUCCACUACAUUUGGGCCUCCUCCUACCUGGUUAAGAGGGCUUAGAUGACUGAGCUCCCUCUCUCUCUCUCCAUCUUCUUGUGGCGAAGCCAUGGCAAAAUGUUCCCCCAUCUUGUGAAUGCAAAUCUUCUUCUUUAAACUUGUAUGGCCUUGGUUUUUACUCGCUCAGUCUAUUUCUUUUUAUUUUCUAUCUAUCAAACUUAAUAAGAAGAUUCUACUUACCUUUAGCUUUGUAAUGGCAUAAGCCUACCUGAUUUGAAGUUGUGACAAAUUUUUUGCGAGUUUUUAAGGUGGCAGGGGUCUAUUGCCUUGGUAGUGUAGGAGCGUCGGUUUAAAAAAUCUAUAACUCGGUGACCUGUGACUCAACUUUGAUGUGGAUUAUUGAAAUGAAUGCAUUCUAAAGCUUAGUUUAUUAAAAAAAUUUAAAUCCCUAAUUUUCAAUCUAUAUCAAAUUUUUAAUGAAUUUUUAAAUGUAAAGGAAUCUAUUGCCUUGGAGUAUUGAACAACCAGCUUUGAAAAAUUGUAUCUUAGUACUUAUAUUUUUUUGCUGAAAUUUGUUGGAAAAGGAACUCUACUAAGUAUGGUUUUAGAAAAAAUUAUCUAUUUUAAACUAUUAACUGAUUUUUGUGAAUUUUUAAGUAGAAAGGAGUCUGCUGCCUAGACAACUCAAGUCUCUUUGUUUUGAAAACACACAUCUCGGAUGUCAAACCUCAAAUCACCAUGAAAUUUGGUAGAUAGGAGCAAAUCUAAGUCAAUCUCAACCACAAAAAAUUUCAAUUGUGUAGGAGUUGUGUGGAAAUGUUAGCAAAUUUUUGAAUGAUAAGGGAUCUGCUGCCCUCAACUUGACAUAAUCUAAGUAAGUUUUGAUUCCCUAAUCACCUUCUAAUCACAUCCCUUAGUAUCUAAAAUGCUACAUUAUCACUCAUUCGUCUUAUUAUCAUUAAUUAAUAUUAUUUAAUAAUUUCAAAGAAUUUUUACAUCACUUUGAAAAUUAAUCUUAAAUUCUUAUCUUUCCAUCCAUUGUUACCCUUUAAAGAAAAAAAAUAUAAAAAAUAAAAUAAAAAUUAAUAUGAUCUUUUCAUUUUUUCUUGUUUCUUAUAACCUAAAUCUUUUAACUUUUAAUUUUAACCUUAAUCUUUUAAUUUUUACUUUUAAUCUUAAUCUUUUAACUUUUACUUUUAACCUUAAUCUUUUAAUUUUUAUUUUUAACCUUAAUCUUUAACUUCCAUUACUUUUAAACUUUCACUUAAUUUUUAAUUAUUAAUUCUAACUUUAAUUUUAAUUUAAUUUUUUAAUCUUCCAACUUUCAUCUUUUAUCUUAAAAAAAUCUUAACAUCAUGUUAGUGCUGAACUUAAAUAUUUAAGGCUGUUUAUUACUAAAUUUCUAAUUCUAGAUGAAGUUUUGACAUAAAAACUUCAUCCAUAGAUAAAUUCUUAUAUAGAACUUCGAUUUACAUGGUUAAUACUACCUUCAAAAGCCCUUGACUAGCAUGCUAGCAUGGUAUUCAUUGUUUUUAUUAUAUUUUAUUCUAAUUCAUAAUUUUCAGAGUUUAAGUUUGAUGGAAUAAGUCUUGGAAGGCACUUAAUUAAAUGAACUACAAAUGCUAAAAAUUAAAUCAUAAAAAGGUAUAACUAACUUGUUGUGUUGUUGGAUUGAUCUUGAUUAUUACAUUAUUUUGGUUUUUCUAUCUUAUAGAUGAUUUGCAUCUCUACAUUAAUUAAUAUUGAGCUUUAAUAUAAGUUAUAAUCUAAUUAAAUAAAAUUUAAGUGAGGGGAGAAAAAUCCACUCUCAAGAGAUGUGGCAAAGUAAUUUCAAAUAGAGGCUCAAAUACAACACCUCUUAGGCCAAAUAGCUAUUUUGCAAGAGCAACUAGAGGCCUUAAGGUGAAGGGAGUUGACAUCUACUAGACUGAAAUUGAAUAAGCGUAGUACAUACUCUAAGACUUGAAGAUAAGAAGAUGUAUGUUAAUAGCUCUUCAACAUGUGAUAAUAUCUUCAAUUAACUUAAGUAAAUAUCACUAAAGAAAUUAUGAAUACAGUGAGCUAUUUGAGAGAUGCGAUAGUUAUUUGGUGGCAACAUUAAGUUCAAAGCUAUGGAAUUUAAGGUGGAUUUUGUAACUAGGAGGAAUUUGAGACUGAGUUUAAGAAUCAAUUUUGGCCAAGUAAUGGAGAGAAGAUAAUAUGUGAUCAGUUGGCAAAUCUUAUACAAUCUAAAUUAGUAAAAGAUUAUGUCUCUCGAUUCAAGUCUCUAUAUCUCCAAAUUUACAAUGUUUCAGAGGCAAAGAUGAUGGAUUGAUUUCUACAAGGUUUGAAAUCUGGGAUCUAGCAAGAGGUGGAGCUAAAUGAUCCACAAACAUUCAAAGAAAUAAUUUGGAUUGUAGAGAGGAUCGAUGCUAUGGAUUUCAAAAAUCAUAGAGUAAGACCUAUAGUAUGAAGCUCUAUGCUAUUAUCUAAUACUAUGGUACAACAAUAAAUACCAAUGGAGAUUGAUGCCCAACAAAGAUCAUUGAUACUACUAAGAUAAUAAAUAUUGGUGCAAAAAAAAUUGUAUUUCUAUUGUCAUGAGCCAAGCCAUCAGACCAAAGAUUGUUCAAAACAUCAAAAUUCAAGCACUUGCAAAACAAGGCGAGUUCACAGUCUUAAAAAUCACCAAAUUAAUAAUGAAACAAAACAAAAAAAUGAGACUUCUUAGUAAAGGCACCAAGGGCUAGUAUUAAAAAUAGCUACUAUCUCUUAGAGAUAAAUAGCAUGGCUUUGGAUAACUAUAAAAAAAUUGAAUAGUUCAUCUAAUAAGACUACUAAGAAGACAAUUAUGUCAAGUAUUUUUAAAUUGUGGCUCUAUGAAAAAUUGCAUCUCAACUAAAAUUGCCAACUAACUUAGAAUUAAAACUAAGACAAUCAUGGGACAAAAUAUAUACCUUGCAUAUGACUGAGAGAAUAUAUUGAGUGAGUCAUGUGAAGAAAAAACCUUGACAUUGACUAACACCUAUGUCUUAAGAGAGAAGUUUUAGAUGAUAAAGUUAAGAUAUGAUAUUAUCUUUGAUAUGCCAUGGCUAAAAAUAGAAAAUAAAUAAGUUGAUUGGAUAAUAAAGACAAUCUCUUUUAAAAAUAGUAGACGCAAGGUGAUUCUUUGCACCUUUAUAUGAAAUGAAGAAGAAAGACAAUCUAUAAUCAAAGACUUAUUUGUAGGGACAAUCUUUAUGAAGAAGCACAUACAACAUAAGCAAUCAAUAUAUAUAGUGGUUCUAAAUCUUGCAUCAAAGGUAAAAAAGACAACUAAAGGAGCAGAUCAAUUCAUACAAAAAUAUUAAGAUAUCUUCUCAAUCAACCUAUCUAGUGGCAUGCUUCUUGAUUAAGAUGCCUCUUUUCAAAUAGAAUUAUUACUUAGAGCCAAACUAGCAAGUCAAUCAAUUUAUUACCUAGCGCCAAAAGAACUUGAAGAGUUGCGGAAGAUAUUGGACGAACUCUUAGAAAAAAGCUUCAUUCAAGAAAGCCCAUCACCAUAGAGACCACCUAUAUUUUUUGCAUCCAAGAAAGAUGGUGGUCUUUGCCUUUGCAUUGAUUAUCAAGGCCUAAAUAAGUAGACUGUUAAGAAUGCAUAUCCACUUCCAUAUGUGGAUGAUCUUCUUGAUCAACUUUGAGGUGCAACUAUCUUUAAUAAAUUGGAUCUUUAGGGCAGCUAUUGGCAAAUACCUAUUGCAAGAGAGGUUAUAAAAAAAACAACAUUUUGUAAGUGCUAUGGUAUCAAGGACAUGAAUCUCGAAGAAACGAAAUCCUCAAUAUACUCUUCUAUUAGUGAAAAGAAUUAGAAAUUCACUCAAAAGGUGAUGUAAUAUUAACUAGAAUGGCUAUUGUCAAAAACAAGAAAACUAGAAAGUCUUGAAACAAGACCAAGACUAGAAAGGCAUUGACAAGAGUGAAGAAGGCUUCACUCUUGCCUCCAUAUAUACUAUCUAACUAAGAGCCAUGUGGCGAUGUCCUAUAGGACCUCCAACAUGUGUUGACUUUGCUAGCCAUAUAUCUUAUCUUGCAAGGCAAGUUAUUUAUGUAUGUGCCACAUAGUUGGCAUGAUCCACAAGCUAUUACAUGGAGGUAACUUGUUCCACAAGCUACCAAUAUAUGAUUAGCUUUUUGGCCAAGUUUCUAACCUACGAACAUAUCUAAAGUCAAAACUGCAUCUAUGAAGCUUCUAAGAAGCUUCUCUAUAAGACUUUAUGAAAUUAUUCUAUUUUACCUAUUUCUACUUAAUCAUAUAAGUAACUAUUGAGAUAAAUAUAUAUGUCCAUGACAUUACCUCCCUUUCUAGGGACGAGUUCCACGAGGAGCAAUCUUCAUAUGUUGAGGAAGUCCAAGAUAUGGCAAAUUAUAUUUGCUACAUACUCUGAUCUUUACUCUCUUCAAAGAUGGUUGAUAGGUCCUCUCAAUCAUCUAUAGUAUACUAUACUAGGGUGAGAAGACCACCCUGUUAUUUCGUCAUUGUUAAGGCCUUCAUAACUUCCUUCAAAUAAAACAUUUGGAAUACCGUCAGGAGUAGUUCUUACCUCUAAUAAAGUCACUAAACAUCGGAAUUCUCUUCCAAGGUCGUGAUAUCAAACACGUUGUAUCUCGCCAUCUAUUCAAAGAAGGACAUGUCAUUCUUGAGGAUCUUCAUCUCGAUUCCGUCAUCUUGAAGGUUGUGACAAUCUCAAUAUCUCAUCUAGUAAGUCCGCAAAUAAAAGCUCUUGAGUUGAAUUUGCUGCUUGUUGGUGCUCCAUUUCAUCAUAAAUACAUAGAAGCUAUAAUGAAAGAUAGAAGGUAGAAUGUUAUUUUCCUUUGAUCUUGUUUCUUUUAUAGCAAAGGUUUGCUGUUCUUCAUCUUGGUUUUCAUAGAUGUCAUUGAUGAAAGACUUCAACUUUCUUUGCUGCAUUUAUAAGAUUCUUUGAUGGCUCCCAUGUACUUUCACUAAUAUCAUAUCCGUGCCAAUGAAUAAGAUAUUCCAACCUAUUUUGGUACCACCUUAAGUCUAAGUCUUCUUCUACCUCAAACUCUUAGUUAUUAUCCACUUCUAUAGGAAGAGGUGGCAUUUUUCUUCUUCUCAAGAUAUUCACUGUCUUAUACGGCUCCAGAAGAGAUACAUGAAAUAUAUUGCGGAUCUUCAUAGACUCCGAUAGAUGUAAUCGAUAGGCAACAAAAUUGAUUUGUUCACAAAUAGGAAAAGGUCCGAGCCUACAAUAAUCUAAUUAAUCACAAGGACGAGUAGUCUUGAUAUUAUGACGAAGUAACCAUACCUUGUCAUCCAUAUUAUAUUGUGGUUGCUCUUUGCGAUAGGCAUUUGCAUUGGUCUUUUGUCUUUCUUGAGCUUCCUUUAAUUGUAUCUUCAUUAUUGUAUGUAGCUUUGACAAGCAAUUUGCUAAAUCUUCCAUCGUAGGAUUAUCAACUUUUGAAAAGUCAAAAGUAUCAACACAUGAAUGAUGACCAUAAUUAGCAAAAAAAGGUAUUUGUUUAGUGGAAGAAUGUACCGAAUUAUUAUAUCCAAACUCUGCCAAUGGUAAAAGAGUUGUCCAAUUAUCUUGAUGAUAGUUGAUGGUAUAUCUCAAAUAUUGCUCCAAAACUUGAUUUACCCAUUUUGUUUGUCCAUCAGUUUGAGGAUGAAAAGUUGAAGAAAGCUUUAUAUCCACCUUUAGAAUCUUGAAUAGGGUUCUCCAAAAUCUUAAUACAAAUUGAGUCCCUCUAUUCGAUAUAAUAUCCUUUGGCAAUCCAUGAUAGCGAUAGAUAUUAUUAAUGAAAAGCUUAGCUGUUUCUUCACCUGUGAUAGAUUUUGUACAUGAUACAAAAUGUGCCAUCUUGGUAAAACGAUCUACUAUCAUGAAUAUAGAGUCAUAAGAACCUGAGAUUGGAAGAUCCGUGAUGAAAUCGAUAGAAACAAAAGACCAUGGUUGUUCUGGAAUAGGUAAUGGCUGAAGAAGUCCAUAAGGUUGAUGAUGAGGAGUUUUUGAUCUUGAGUAAACAUCACAAGAUUGUACAAAAUCUUUAACUGUCUUCAACAUUUGUGGCCACUAAAAAUCCCUGGAUAUUAAUUCCAAAGUUUUAUUUUAUCCAAAGUAUCUUGUUGCUGAAAAGUCAUGACGAGCUUGAAGAACACGUAAUUGGGCUUCACCUUCUGGAACAUAUAGACGUCCUUCAAAAUUUAAUAGAUUAUUCUUGAAUUCAAACUUGGAAGUAUCAUGGGACUUAAAAGAAAUAUCCUUGAUAUCCUGAAUAAGAGGAUCACAGGACAUGCUUGAUUGAAUUUACUUCACAAAUAUUGAAUCAAUAGCUAAUGUUGAUUUUAUAGCUUGAAGAUGAAAAUGCUCGGGCUUCAAGAGAAUUGAUCUUUGUUGAUCAAAAGAUGCAUCUCCUUCUUUUGGUGUAAGAUAAGAACGCCUAGAAACAGUAUCUUAUAGACCUUGUUGUUUUUCAGAUCGAUAAGUGAUCUUGAAAUUGAAUCUAGAUAAAGACAUGCUCCAACAGAAUUGACAACGAUUCAAGACACGUGUUGACAUGAAGUACUCGAGGUUGUUAUGGUAUGUAUACAUGAUAACUAGACUUCAGGUGCCUUCUAGGUAAUGAUGCCAUUCUUGAAAUGAAUCCACAAUUGCAAGGAGCUCUUUGUCAUGGAUUUCAUAAUUAAUCUCAGCUCCUAAAAAAAAUUUACAAAUAGAAAGCUAUUGGAUGGAAUUUGUCAUCUAGUCCCAUUUCUAAUAACAUGGCUUCUAUAGCAAAAUUUGACACAUCUGUUUUCAUAAAAAAUGCCUUAGAGAAGUCAACAAAAUAUAAGAUUAGUGUAAAAAUAAAUUUCUUCUUUAAAGCAUCAAAUGAUGCUUCUACUUCUUUAUUCCACUCAAGUUUGUCUUUACAAGUCAAACGUGUAAGUGGAACUGCAACUUGAGAAAAAUUCUUGAUGAAGAUUCGAUAAUAAUUAGCAAAGCCCAAAAAGCAUUGUUCAUCUCGUACUGUUCUUAGAAUCUUCUAAUCUAUGAUAGUUUGAACCUUCUUAGGAUCCAUCAUAAGGCCUUCAUUGAAAAUAAUGUAUCCUAAGAAGUCAACUUGAGUAGUGUGGAAUACACACUUUUUCAAUUUGGCAUAUAAUCUUGCAUCUUUAAGUUUCUAUAACACGCGACAAACAUGAAACUCAUGUUCUUCUAUAUUCUUAGAGUAGAUUAGAAUGUCGACUAAAUAGCAAACAACAAAAUCAUCUAAAAACUCACAAAAAAUAUUAUUCAUAAAAUGUUGAAUAGCGGCCGGUGCAUUCAUGAGUCCAAAAGGCAUGACAUUAUAUUCAAAAUGUCCAUACCUAGUUUGAAAAGAAGGCUUCUAUUCAUCUCUUUCUUUGAUACGAACUAAGUUGUAUGCUCUUCGUAGAUCUAUUUUGGUAUAGAUCUUUGCUUGAUUGAGUUGGUCAAAAAGUCUUGAAAUCAAAGGCAAAGGAUACCUAUUUUUGAUGGUGAUCUUGUUGAGUCCUCAAUAAUCCACACACAUUCAUAGAGAUCUGUCUUUCUUCUUCACAAAUAAGAUAGGAGCCCCGGCUAGAGAUUUAGAAUGGAGUAUGAAGUUUUUUGCCAAAUUCUCAUCAAUAUACUCUUUUAAUGCAGCCAACUCAUUCUGUAAUAAGCUAUAGAUUGGUCCAAAUGGUGGUUGAGCUCUUUCUUGCAGAUCAAUUGAACAAUCAUAAGGUCGAUGCUCGGAAAGAAUAUCUGCAUUUUUCUUUUCAAAAAUAUCUUAGAAUUCUUGAUAUUGCUUAGGAAUACCACUCGAUGUUGUUUCACCAUUAGAAAUAGGUAUAGCAUAUAUAGCAAAAGAUGAUUCUUCUUUUGCAGCAUGCAUGAAAGCUUUUGCACCUACUAGUAAAGGUUUGGACGUACUGGACUUACAUACUUCUAUUUUGCUAACGCGAUCUUGAAUUAUACUAUCAGGAAAGUUAAGGUUUUGAAAAAUUCAAUCUAUUUGAGGGUUAUAUUUUUCUAGCCAUGAUAAUCCUAUAAUAACUAGAUUAGAGAGAAAUUUUAUUACAUUAAAUACUACUACGUUGUUAUGAUCUUUAAUUACUAUAUCUAAAGGAAUAGUUUCAUGAGUAACAUUUCCAAAAGACAAUAAACGACCAUCUAUGACUUCUACAUGUACGGAUUUAACUUUCUUCACUAAAGAUAUUUUUUGAUUUUUGGCAAAAUCUUUGUCUAUAAAACAUGCUGAGGCUCCUGAAUCUAACAAGACAAAGACUUUGUGAUUAUUAGGUCCUAAAUAUACUUCUAUUAUAAAACAAGGUGAGGGGUCUGAAGAGAGGAUAGGAUCUUUACUAGGUGUUGCACAUGAUUCCAGCCACACAAUUCCUAUUGUAGCUAGAGAAACUCGUUUCUCGACACACUAUCUUCUUUGGUAAUUGUGCUCCUCAUUUUGUAAUUGUGUUGUUUCUUUGGAUAAUAUUGAGCAGUGUGCUUAGCUUCUCCACAAUAUAAACACAAUCUCUCUUUGUGACGUUGAGUCUUUUCCUGCUUCGUGAGAGGUUUAAAAUGUAUCAUAUCAAUUUGUAUUGGUUCCGACUUUGACAAAUACAUUUUAGAAAACUUGAAAGCUACUGCCAUUACUUGACUUGUUCCUCUCUAACUAAAUCUUUUUUUUUGAUGCCUUUCAAAUAAAUGAUUGUCACAUGUAAUGGCUUGAGUAAUAAAUUAUUUCAAAGAUUCUAUUUUUAGCAUUAUUAAUAAUAAAUCUUUGACGCUAUCCUUCAAUCCAUAUCAAAAUUGGUUGAUAAGUACUUUGUCGUUUCAAUCGACAUUGCAAGCAAGAUUUUGGAAUUCGGCAACAUAUGUAGUGGCUGAUCAUGAUCCUUGCUGUAAGAAUAGAAGCUUGAUCUCUGCUACUCGUUCUCGAUCACUUUCUUUGAAUGUGGCAGUAAAUAAUUCUAGAAAUGAAUUCAAAUCGUAAAGGAGUCGUGAAUCUUUUUCUAUUAAAGGUGCAAACCAAGAGAGAGCACUUCUUGAUAGUAGUACGCCUAUAAAUCCGACUAGGGUAAAUCCAUCAAGAUAUUGGAAAGGGUGCAACCUUAGAUAAAUCUUGACUUAUUGCAAAAAUCUUCAAAAUUUUGAUCUUGUUCCAUCAAACUUCUCAAGCAUACUAAUCCUUAUCCCUGUCAUACUUGUAGAAGCAAAACUCCCUGGAUUUGGUUGUGACGUUGAUCUACUUGCUUCUUUCAACUGCACAACUUCUUGUCGCAAACUCUGAACUUCUUUCAUAGGUGUAGGCAUAGUACUUCCAUGAUUCACGUUGGAAAUACGUGAGAUUUCCACUCUUUGAGUGUUGACAAGCUCAUGAAGAUCUGCUAUAGUUGCAAAUCUAUUCUCACUUCUAUUGAAAGUAGCAUCGAUAAUCUUUCCUUUCAUAGACAACUCAAAUGAAUUCAAAAGUUAAAUUAGAGGAGGAUAAUCCGCAACCUCUAAAAAAAAAUUCCACAAAGAGGGAUAAUCCACUCUCUUUAAAGAAAAGAUCAUUGUUAGAAAACAAGAUUUUUUGUUUAAAGGUGGGUAGUCCGCAACCUUCAAAAUACAAUAAUAGAAGUGGAAUAAUCCACUCACUUCUAGAACAAGACAGAAACAAUAUGUUAGCACUCUUGUCAAACUGUCAAGGACAUGAAUCUCAAACAAAGAGAAUCCUCAAUGCACUCUUCUAUCGCUGAAGAGAACUAGAAAGUCAGCCAAAAGGUGAUGUAAUAUUAACUAGAAUGGCUAUUGCCAAAUACAAGAAGAUUAGAAAGACUUGAAACAAGACCAAGACUAGAAAGGCAUUGACAAGAAUGAAGAAGGCUUCACUCUUACCUCUAUAUAUACUAUCUAACUAAGAGUCACAUGGUGAUAUCUUAUAGGACCUCCAACAUAUGUUGACUUUGCUAGCUACAUGUCUUAUCUUAUAAGGCAAGUUAUCUAUGUAUGUGCCACGUAGUUGGCGUGUUCCACAAGCUACUACACGGAGGUAACUUGUUCCACAAGCUACCAAUACAUGAUUAGCUUUUUGGCCAAGUUUCUAACCUAUGAACACAUCUAAAGUCAAAACCGCAUCUAUGAAGCUUCUAAGAAGCUUUUCUAGAAGACUUUAUGAAAUUAUUCUAUUUUACCUACUUCUACUUAAUCAUAUAAGUAACUAUUGAGAUAAAUAUAUAUGUCCAUGACAUAUGGAUAUUUCAAAUGGCUAGUUUUAUCUUUUGGCCUCACCAAUACUCUAGCCUUUUUCAUAGGUUACAUAAACAAAUUAUUUCAGGACCUUUUACACAAGUAUGUAAUCAUCUUCAUUGAUGAUAUCCUCAUAUAUUAUAAAAUCCUUAAAGAGCAUAAAUAAUACCUAUGAGAAUAGCUAUGCCGACUACAAGAUAGUUGAUUCUAUUGUAAGCAAUCAAAAUGUGAACUUUGGAAGUUGAAAGUUACUUUUUUAGGGCAUGUGGUGUCUUCCAAAGGCAUGCAUAUGGAACAAGAUAAGAUAAAAGCAGUUGAGAAUUAUCUGACCUCCAAAGAUGCUUUUGAAGUCCACUUAUUUUUAGGCCUUACUAGAUAUUAUUGCCAUUUUGUUCAACGAUUUGCUCACAUAGUUGCUUCAUUGAUAAACCUAUUGAAGAAGGGUGGCUCAUUUGAAUGAAAACUCGAGUAGCAAAUUACCUUUAAUAAGUUGGAGGCAUUUAUUACUGCUCUAAUAUUGCAACCAUAUGAUUUUAACCUUCCUUGUACGCUUGACAUUGAAGCUUUUGACUUUUUUUUAUUAAAGUGGUCCUUCAAGAAGACCUUGAUAGGGCCUUUUAACUUGUGGUAUAUGAAUCACAUAAGCUUAGAAGAACAAAGCAUAAUUAUUCUAUAUGUGAUCAAGAGUAAUUAGUGAUUGUACACACUAUGAAGGUGUGGCGAUACUAUUUGUUGGAAAAGCCAGUGGUUAUUCAGACUAACUAUCAACCCUUGCUACACGAUUUACAUCUAGAAAAUAUAAAAUCAUGACAUUAUUGUUGGAAAGAAUAAUUACAGCUUUUUGAUAUCUAGCUUAAGUACAAGCAAGGGCAACAACAUACUAUAUCAAAUAGCUUAAUGCAAAGAUCAAACUUGAAGGACAAAUUGGAAGAUAAGAUAAAAGUUGCUACCUUAAUAGUAUCAUUUUAAAUCUAACCAAAGAGACAGAAUAAAUGAAAGCUAUGCAUUAGGAUGCUUAUUUUAAGAUGAUUAGUAAUUAAUUGAAGGUGAAUAAUAUAUAUUAUCAAGAUUAUAGUUUUAGUAAUGGCCUACUCUAUUUUUAAAAGUAGAUAUAUAUAUAUCCAACAAUAUUAUAUUUCAGAUGCGCAUACUUCAAGAGGGACAUGACAUUCCAAUAUUUGGACAUUUGAAAUAAGAAAAGUCUCUAGAAUAGAUCUCAAUGAUAUGAUUUUGAACAUAUUUGGAUUGUUAUGUUUGAGUCUUUGUCAUGCAAGUCAUGUCAAUGUAACAAAGCACACAACGUAGCAUCUCGUAGACUAUUGUACUUAAUUCCACUACUUGUGGUAUGUUAAGAGCAAGUGACUAUGGAUCUCAUUAUGUGUUUGCCGCAGACGCAUCAUAAUCAUGCCACAAUUACUGUCUUUGUGGAUCAAUUCUUGAAGCAACUUCACUUGGCCAUAGUACACUCAAAUAUUAAUGCUUCAAUGCUUACAUGAGUCUUCUUAGAUACCGUCUUUUGUGACCAUAGAUUACUUCAUAUUAUCAUUUGAGAUUGGGAUCCAUGCUUCACAAGAAGUUUUUGACAAGCCUUGUUUAAGCUACUAGGCACACAACUUGAUAUAUCUAAAAUCUUCUAUUUUCAAAUAAUUGAGUAAAUAGAACAUGCAAAUUAGACCUUGGAAGAUAUAUUGGGGGCAUUUGUGGUGAUUCAUCAUAAUGAUUGGCAUGAAUACUUGACAUCUUUGGAGUUUGCUUACAAUGAUAGUAUUCAAGCAAGUACUAAUUAUUUACUAUUUUUUCUUAAUACUACUUAGCAUUCAAUUUUGCCAAUAACUCUUCAUUGUUCCAUUCAUAUCAACAACCUGAUAAUGGAAGAAUUUAUACAAUAGCUUAUAACAACUUUACAAGAGACACGUCAUUACCUCUUUAUUGUACAAAAUCAAUAGAAGUAGUAUGUGCAUAACCAUUGGCAACAUAAGACUUUUUGAGAAGAUGAUUAGGUGUUACUCUCCAAUGCCAACUUUCCACUUACUAUAUCAACCCAAAUUUAUAAACUAACACCUCGAUAGCUUGGACCUUUCCACAUUUUUGUAGUGAUUUUUGAUAUUAUAUACCGCCUCAAGCUUUUGUCACAUAUUUAAGUCCAUCUAAUCUUCUAUAUUUUGCAACUAAAAUAAUUUCAUAGUGAGCCAAAGUGCUUUCCAAAUUGAUACCAACUACUAACAAUUGUAGUUGAUGACUAAUAAGAAUAUAAAGUGGACAAUGUUUUGGAACAUUGUUACUUUUGCCAUGGCAGUGGAUGUCCAGAAUUUUAAUACAAAGUUCUUUGGAAAGGUUAUUCCAUUCACAAUGCCAUGUAGAAACUUGCACAAAAUCUCAUCUACUGUUAAGAGACAAUUUGGAGAUACCAUUGGAAGCAAAAUGAGGAUGUUCUGCAUUAGUAGAAGAAGAUUUUUUUUUUUUUUUUUUAAUACAAUUGGAUUUUAUAUCUUCAUAUUUUAUUUUUUUCUAUCUUAAUUUCAAUUGCUCAGUUUUAUCUUCUAUGUCUCAUUCUAUUUAAUUUUGUUUAAUUCUAUUUUAGUCUAGUUUGUCCUACUUUUUAAUGAGGUUUUAUGUUACUAUGGAAUAAAAAGAUCUUGGAGACUUGAGAUAGACUAGUCAUAUUUUAUGAUGAUAGUUUUUUGUCGAAUUUAUUCUCAGAAGGAGAAAUAAUAUGACAAACAAAUAUACUUACUUUAAUAUGAUUAAGUAGAAGUAAAUAAAAGUAUAUUUAUUUUAUAAUAUUUUUUUAAAAAAAGCUUCCUAGAAGCCUCAUAAGCACUACUUUGACUUCACAUGUAUUUGUAGUUGAUUGGUAGGUUAGUAACUUGAUCAAUAAGUUAAGCACAAGUUGAUAGCUUGCAAAAUAAGCUAACUAUAUGACGCUCAUAUAAAAAACUUGCCUUGCAAGUUAAGAUAUGUAUCUUGCAAAGUCAAUAUGUUUUGGAGGUCCUAUAGGACAUCACUACAUCGCUUGUAAUUAAGAAUAUAUAUAGAGGCAAGAGUGAAGCUUUCUUCACUCUUAUCAAUGCCUUUUUAAUCUUUAGUCUUAUUUUAAGACUUUUUAGUCUUCUUAUCAUUAGUAAUAGCCAUUCUAGUUUAAUACUAUAUCAUCUUUGAGUGAUUAUUUAGUUUUUUUGAAUAAUAUAAGUGUAUCUUGAUCUUUUAGUUCUUCAAGAUUCAUAUCCUUGAUAGAAGAUCCAUAAUAUAAUCUAUAGAAAUAGAAGACCAUAGUUCUUUUGAAAUAGAUAAUGGUUAAAAAAAUCCAUUAAGUUGAUGGCAAGGAAUUUUAGAUCUUAAAAAAAUAUCACAUAAUUAUACAAAGUCUUUAACUGCCUUUCACAUUUGAGGCUACCAAAAAUCUCUUGAUAUUAGCUCCAAAGUCUUAUUGUAUCUAAAAUGUCCAACUAUUAGAAAGUCAUGACAAGCUUCAAGAAUAUAUAAUCAUGCAUUGUUUUCUAAAAUGUAUAAUUAUCUUUCAAAAUAAAAUAGAUUAUUUUUAAAUUUAAACUUAAAAAUAACAUGACACUUAAAAGAGAUAUUCUUGAUAUCAUAAACAAGAUGAUCAGAGGACAUACUUGAUUUAAUUUACUUGACAAAGAUUCAAUCAAUAGUUAAUAUUGAUUUUAUUGUUUGAAGGUGAAAAUACUUCAACUUCAAAAAAAUUAUUCUUUGUUGAUCAAAAGAUACAUCUCUUACUUUUGGUGUAAGAUAAAAAUAUCUAAAAAAGACAUUUGACAAAUCUUGUUGUUUUUUGAGUCAAUAAGUGAUCUUAAAAUCAAAUCUUAAGAAAGACGUGUUCUAACAAACUUGACAAUGAUUCAAAAUACAUAUUGAGAUGAAGUACUUGAGAUUCUUCAAAUAAGUAUACAAGAUGAUUGAACUUAAGGUACCUUUUAGAUAGUGAUGCUAUUCUUGAAAUGAAUUGACUAUUGCAAAGAAUUCUUUAUUAUAGAUCUUAUAAUUAAUCUUGACUACUAAAAAAUUUCUAAAAUAAAAAAAUAUUAAAUAGAAUUUUACAUCUACUUCCAUUUGUGACAAUAUUCUACCUAAGAUAAUAUAUGAUGCAUCUAUUUUCAUUAAAAAUAACUAAAAAAAGUCAAUACAAUAUAAGAUUGGUAUAAAAAUAAUUCUAUUUUUAAAGCAUAAAAUGAUGUUUUGGCUUCUUUAUUCCAUUCAAUUUUUUUUUACAAAUCAACCAUAUAAGUAGAGUUUCAACUAAAAAAAUUUUCUUGAUGAAGAUCUAAUAGUAAUUAGCAAAGCCCAAAAAUAUUACAUAUUUUUUAUUAUUUUUAGAAUCUUUUAAUCUAUGAUAGUCUAAAUUAUUUUUGGAUCCAUCAUUAGUCCUUUGUUGGAAAUGAUGUAUCUUAAGAAGUCAACUUGAGAAGUAUGGAAUAGACAUUUUUUUAAUUUGACAUAUAAUCUUAUAUUUCUAAGUUUUUGUAACACACAAUGAAUAUGAACUUUAUACUCUUCUAUGUUCUUAGAGUAGAUUAAGAUAUUAUUUAAAUAAUAGAAGAUAAAAUUAUCAAGAACCUCACAAAAGACAUCAUUAAUUAGAUGUUAAAAAGUAACUAGUGUAUUUGUGACUCCAAAAGACAUGACAUUAUAUUCAAAAUGUCCAUAUCUCAUUCAAAACAUAGUUUAUCAUUCAUUUAUUUUUUUAAUAUGUAUCAGAUUAUAAGCUCCUUAUAGUUAUAUUUUUAUGAAGUUCUUUGCUUGAUUCAAUUAAUCAAAAAGUCUUAAAAUCUAAAGUAGAAAAUAUCUAUCUUUGAUGGUGAUCUUGUUAAGUCCUCAAUAGUCUAUGUGCAUCCAUAGAAAUCCAUUAUGUUACUUUACAAAUAAGAUAGGAGCUCUUAGAAGAAUUUUUGAAUGGCAUAUGAAAUUUUUAGUCAAAUUUUUAUUAAUAAAUUAUUUUAGUGUAGCCAAUUCAUUUUACAAUAAGAUAUAGAUCAAUCCAAAUGGUAUCUGAGCUCUUUCUCGCAAAUCAAUUGAACAAUCAUAAGAUUGAUGCUUUUGAAGAAUAUUUAUAUUUAAUUUUUUAAAAACGUCUUUAGAAUCUCAAUAUUGGCUAGGAAUAUCACUUCACAUCUUCUCACCAUCAAAAAUGGAUAUGGCAUAUAUAGCAAAAGAUGAUCUUUCUUUUGCAGCAUGUAUGAAAGCUCUUGCUCUUACUAGCAAGGAUUUGGAUAUAUUAGACUUAUGUAAUUCUACUUGACUAAUAAGAUUUUAAAUUUCACUACCAAAAAAGUUAAAGUUGUGGAAAAUCCAAUCUAUUUGAAGAUUAUAUUAUUUUAAUCAUAAUAAUCUUAAUAUAAUUAGAUUAGAUGGAGAUCUUAAUAUAUUAAAUAUUAUUAUAUUAUUAUGAUCUUUCAUUAUUAUAUCUAAAAGAAUAUUUCAUUGAUAACAUCUCCAAAAGACAACAAACAACCACCUAUGACUUUUAUAUGUACGGAUUUAGUUUUUUUGACUAAUGAUAUCUCUUAUUUUUUGGCAAAAUUAUUUUUAAUCAAUUUCUCCAAAUAUAGUCAUAAACACUCUUAGGAAUGAAUUCAAAUCAUAAAGGAGUUAUGAAUCCUUUUCUAUCAAAGUUUCAAAUCAAAAGAGAGCACUUCUACAUAAAAGUGCACCUAUGAAUCCAACUUGAGUAAAUCCAUCAUGAUAUUUGAAUGAAUGCAACCUUAGAUAAAGCUUGAUUUGUUACAAAAAUCAUUAAAAAUUUUGAUCUAGUUUCCACAAACUUCUUUGGCAUACUAAUCCUUAUUCUUGUUAUACUUAUAGAAGCAAAACUUCUUGAAUUUAGUUAUGAGGUCGCUUUACUUGCUUCUUUUAACUGCACAACUUCUUGAUGUAGACUUUAAACUUCUUCCAUAGACAUAGGAUUAGUGUUUCCAUGAUUAGCACUUAUAAUGUAUGAAAUUUCUAUCUUAAGAGUGUUAACAAAUUUGUGAAGAUUAGUAAUAGUUCCAAAUCUAUUCUUACUUUUUUCAAGUGUAGCAUCCAUGAUUUUUUCUCCUAUUUCAAACAACUUAACAAAUUCACAAGUUAAAUUAGAAGAAGAUAAUCUACAAUAUCUAAUAUCAAAUGAAAAUUUUUACAAAGAAGAAUAAUCUGCUCUCUUUAAGAAAAAUAUCAAUGUUAGAAAACUAAACAAUUUGUAUAAAGGUAGGUAAUCCACUCACUUUUAAAACAAGACAACAAUAAUGAAUUAGAACUCUUAUCAAACUAUGAAGGACAUGAAUUUUGAGAAAUUAAAAAAUGAAGACACUCUUAUGUCAUUCAAAAAGACAAAUUAAUCAUUUAAAGAUUAAAUAAUAUUAAAUUAGAAUAACUAUUACUAAAGAUAAGAACACUAAAAAAUCUUGAAACCAAGAUCAAGGAAUAAAAAGAUAUUGAUAAGAGUGAAGAAGACUUCAUUCUUAUCCCCAUAUAUAUUCUUAACUAAGAGCUACAUAGUGAUGUCCUAUAGGACCUUCAAAACAUAUUGAUUUGCAAGACAUGUAUCUUAAUUUAUAAGGCAAAUUUCCUAUAUGUGUGCCACGUAGUUAGCUUAUUUUGCAAGUUACUAUCUACUAAUCAACUACAAAUACAUGUAAAAUCAAAGCAGCAUCUAUAAAGCUUUUAGAAAACUUUUUAAUAAAAUAUUAUGAAAUAAAUUUAUUUUUAUCUACUUCUACUUAAUCAUAUAGGUAAAUAUCAGAAUAAAUAUGUAUGUCCAUCAUAAAAAAAUAUUUUCUUUCUUCUUUCACCUAAUAGCCAUGUUACUAUAUAAUACAAGUGACAUUGUAUAAUUAUUCUUUUACAAUAUCAAGACUAUUUAUUUUUGUGAUAAAUUCGAUUAUUGUAGGUGUAGAAUAGAUAUUAAUUCAUUUUUGAAAGAUAUUGGUAAAAUAUAUUAAUAGUCCAUAUAAUAGGAAUUUCAGGAGGACAGAUGAGUGAUUUAGUUCUUAAAAGCAAUUAAUUAUAGAAUUACGGUUAGAAUCUAGAGAAUCAGGAGAAAGUAUAUAGGAGUUGUAGAAGAUAAUUAAGGUGCCAUCGCUAUGAUAGUGUGAGUCGGGGUAAGCUUGGUACUACCUCUUUUCUUUUGUUUGUUAUUUUCUUUGAAUAAGAAGAUUGAGAGUUUCUGAAUAUUGUGAAGUGAAUUAUGGAAUGGAAAUGUGAUUGGUAUUAUUUGAGAAGAAGAAAGAUUGAAUGCUGAAAUCUGAUUAUAGUUCAACAGAGAGAAUGAGUCUGUAUUUGUGUGAAACACCGUAAUGUGAAUGACAAUUCUAUGUGAAGAAUUUCAGUGAUUGGAAUGAGGGUAAUUGUGUGUUGAAAGCUGUGAGGGCACAGUAUUACAGUUGGAGAUUAUGAGGGUGAAUAUAUUGGUGGAAAUAGCAGUUAUUGGUAUGACCGAAUUGUUGUAAGGAAGAGACCGUUAAGGUGAAAGAGGAGAUUAUAGUUUCCUUGUGUGUUCAGAUAUUGGAAAUAGAGACGAUACAUUCAGGAGGUAAUUGAUUGUGUGACCCUAACGUGAACGCUUAAGCAACUAGUCAUUCCCCGUGUUUGAAUCCCCUUAUAUGGGUUUAUUCCCAUUAGAUUAAUUUGGAAUAAGUAAAACGAGCAAUCACAAUAGGCUUAUACCUUUUUUCUAUUUGUCAACAAAUUGAUCUUGUUGCUUAUCAAUUAUACAUGCUAGAGUCAAAGAAGAUCCAUUCUAUAUUUCAUAUGUCUCUUUUCAAGCCAUACAAGAUAAUAAGUAUUCCAAGAAGAAGACAAAUUCCACCACGUCUCAUAGAAGUAGAUAAUUAUAAAAAAAUUUGAGGUCAAAGAAAUCUUAAAUUCAAAGCAAUAUCAAAAUAGGUUAAAAUAUCUUGUUCAUUAGCAUGAAUAUAAUAUUAAUGAAUGCACAUGAGAGCCAACAAAGAAUCUUAUAAAUGCAAUAAAAAAAAUAAAAUUUUUUCAUCAAUAACAUCCAUGAAAAUCAAGAUGAAGAAUUGAGCAAUUCUUUGCUAUAAAUGAAAAUAUGCUUAAUAAAGAUUUUCAAAACAUUUUAUCAAUAUGUCAAAAUCUAUUAUGAUAUUUUUUAAAUUUAAUUAUUAUCAUUAAUUGUAUAAAUUAUUAUUAUUAUUAUACUUUACCAUCAUAUUAUUAUAUUUUAUCAUCACAUUAUCAUUAUGUUUAUAUAAAUUUUUAAAAUUAUUUUAAAUAUAUUAUAAAUACAUAUAUUUUCAAAAAUAGAAUCAGCAUAAUAUCAUUAUGCAUACUAACAUUCAAACAAUGACAUUUGCUAUCAAAUAUAAAACGUAUAAAAAUAAAAUUUUAUUUUAUAAAGUAAUUGUAGAAUAUUUUGAUAUUUUUAAUCAAUUAUGUUAAUUGACUUAUUGUUAUGAUAUUGAUCAAAAAAUUAAUGGUAACCAUGAUUUUGUCAAAUAACAACUAUAUCUGCAAAAGUACUUAAAUUCUUUUUACUCUAUUAUUCACAUACGAUUCUAUUAGAUUUAGUAAUGAUUUUGUAGAUGGUUAUAACAUAUACAAAUCAAAAUCCAAAUGAUUGAUUUAUUAAUCUAAAAAUAUUACUUAAUGCAAUUGAAAUAUACCAAAAACUAUAAUAAAAAAUAAAAAUCCAUAUAAAAUAAAUACAAUAAAGAUAACUCUUAUGUAUUAUUCUACAAGUUUUUCUGUUCUUUUUUAUCUCUUUUUUUUUUUUUUUCUUUUUUUUUUACAACAAACUCUACACAAAUGACAACAUAAUUCCACAUCAAGAAUACAACAAGAUAACAUAAUACAAAAUAGUUAAAGGCACUUUAUAUGCACAUAUUACAAAAUUCAUCAAUGAAAUAGUACAUUAAAUGUGUUAGGAAGAUGCUUUUGUAUUCCCGAACUUUACUAUUAUUUUUCCAAAACAUCACUGGCUUUUCACCACUUCCCAUUGUACCAAACACAUCGACACCAUUCCACUACAAUCAAAAAGAAUAUCAUGUCAACAGUGUCAAUCUUGCAUAACCACUGCUUACGAUUCUCAAGCGCUACCAAUUCGAAGCCACCAACUCCAUAACCAUCCGACAUUCUCAAUAGAUAGAUUACAAAAUGAAAAACCAACUCAAUAACCACGUGAUCAUGAGGCAUUCAAGAACCAAGAUGAUCAACACCAUCACAGGAAUAACACCAACAAGUGUGUCAACAAUCUUCACCAAUCUCAGCAAUAUGUCGAAAUCCUUGCUCCCAACAUGCCGACGUCCUACAACUUGCACUAGAUUCGCAAGAUCCUUCAGAAACUUUAAGGCAAUGGAGAAUUGCAAACCCCCAUGCAAUGAUGCACACAACAACAUUUCCACACAACUUUACCACACAAACUUACCAAUACAAGGAAUCGCAUAUCGUUAAAAAAUUAAAAAAUAAAUAAAAAAUAAAUUAGAACUCAAUAUUUCAAACCAGAAAUCUCCAACACACCCAUGCGGACACCCCGAUACUUGCUCCCCAAAACAAAUGACGGAACAUUUCCUCUCCACAGCACACCUGCCGUAUCCAUGCAAUGAUCGCAACCCUCCUCAAAUCCAGCCAUCCAACCCACACCAACCAUCAGUCUCAACACGAUCGACACGUUCUGCCACGACCAAAUGUCAUCAACUCCAGCCUUCAUAAAUACCAUAAUGCCCUCUUCAAAUGCACACCCUUGCUUCACAACCACGAUCUCAAUCGACAAUCGUCCAAACUAAAACACCAUCGCACAAACCACACCAUUAUGCUCCCGUCGCAAUUCCAUACCCGCUAAAAGCAAUCAGAGUUCACAUUCUAUGACACCCUACUCACCACGCAUAAUCACACCCAGAAAGCCC
This 24378-nucleotide long non-coding RNA is filed under the name Physcomitrium patens. RNAcentral's name for it is "long non-coding RNA (PPAT_LNC004963)". The record is from RNAcentral. Lineage: Eukaryota; Viridiplantae; Streptophyta; Bryopsida; Funariales; Funariaceae.